Molecule: ribosomal RNA, 417 nt
Filed under: Triticum aestivum (bread wheat)
Lineage: Eukaryota; Viridiplantae; Streptophyta; Magnoliopsida; Poales; Poaceae
Description: partial small subunit ribosomal RNA
Source: RNAcentral
GGGACGCAUGUUUUCGUCCGCCCAUAUAAGGGGAUAAAGAUCCAACCCUAUUACCUGCGCCUUCUUCCUUCUUGGCUUAUCCAUCUCUGCAAACCCGAGCUCCAGCGCCCAAGCCCGCACAUCUCACCUCAACCUUCUCCAACUAUGUCCGGAGCAGGACGCAAGUGGAUGGCCUCCUCCGUCACGGAGGGGCAGAUCCAGAAGCUGCGCAACGCCGGAUACUUGUCCAGCGACAUCGCGCACCGGCUCCCCAACGAGGGAGAGCUCAUCCCCACCCCCAAGCCCCAUGAGAGGGUAGUAUUCCUUCCCCAUUUCCUCCGCGGACUGGGCUUCCCACUCCAUCCCUUUGUCCGGGGGCUCAUGUUCUACUACGGCCUGGAUUUCCAUGAUUUGGCCCCGAAUUUCAUCCUCAACAUC